This 73-nucleotide transfer RNA is filed under the name Thermoplasmatales archaeon. RNAcentral's name for it is "tRNA-Val". Lineage: Archaea; Methanobacteriati; Thermoplasmatota; Thermoplasmata; Thermoplasmatales. The record is from RNAcentral.
GGGCUCGUGGUCUAGGGGUUAUGAUGUCGCCUUGACGAGGCGAAGAUCGGGAGUUCGAACUGCAACUUGCAAG